AUACGUAGGGUGCAAGCGUUAAUCGGAAUUACUGGGCGUAAAGCGUGCGCAGGCGGACCGUUAAGUCAGCGGUGAAGAUCUGGUGCUUAACAUCAGGAGUGCCGUUGAUACUGGCGGACUAGAGUAUGAUUGACGUAAGUGGAAUGUAGCAUGUAGCGGUGAAAUGCAUAGAGAUGCUGCAGAACACCGAUAGCGAAGGCAGCUUACGAAGUCACAAGAGACUCUUGGGCACGAGAGCGUGGGGAGCGAACAGGUUUAGAUACCCUAGUACGCCACGCAGUAAACGAUGAUAACUGGCUUUUGGCGAUAGGCGGUCAGAGGCUGAGAGAAAUCAAUAAGUUGGCCGCCUGGGGAGUACGGUGGCAACAUUGAAACUCAAAUGAAUUGACGGGG
RNAcentral lists this ribosomal RNA (393 nucleotides) under uncultured bacterium. RNAcentral's name for it is "partial 16S ribosomal RNA". It matches the Rfam family "Bacterial small subunit ribosomal RNA", at positions 523 to 918 of the family's 1533-position model. The record is from RNAcentral.